Dermacentor albipictus is the source of this 793-nucleotide RNA transcript. RefSeq lists it as uncharacterized. The record is from RefSeq and is a predicted model, not a curated record. Lineage: Eukaryota; Metazoa; Arthropoda; Arachnida; Ixodida; Ixodidae.
AUGACGAGCUCGAGCACGCAGCUUCUCGUUCGAUGUGGCACGCGCAGCAUUUGCCAAGCUUCCGCAUCGUUACCUGAGCUCCUUGUCCGCGGCCGUUCGAGUGUAACGAUCCGAGUGUGACGUCACCCAAUGCAGUUGCGAGGCCUCCUGCUGCGCUUCCGCGGCGUUCCUGGUUGCGGGCAAGUUUGCAUCGGCGCCGCCACACUGCACUGUUUCACGACGAGCGGCUUUCCUCUACGCUUGUGGCUGCACUGCCAGAAUAUAAACAUGGUUGGCCGCGGGUCGACACACAAGGCUGAGCAAGUCGCCACGUGGCGCUUCACCGAGGAAGACGGGCCAGUCAUUAUUCAAGGCAAGUCCAUGAGCAGUCCGUGAACGAUAGGUGGCGUGGCGGGCCUCUUCCGGUCUCUCGGUGCUUCCACGUCGCGCCGUUUUUCGGGCUCGAGCACGAAAGCCCACAAGCGUCCGGACCUUUCGCCGUUAAGAGUGUCCCGACCUGCAGCGCCGCUUCCCUGCUCGACGCUGGAGCGCCGCACGCAGCCGCGCGGCGUCGAGGAACUGCAGCGGCCGAGUCUCGGCGACGCGGCCGCGCACAAAGCACCGCGACGCGAGGAGAACGCGCGCCCGUGGAACGGCCGCGUUUGUUGUUCUCGGCUGUCCAGAGGGCACACGACAUUGCCGCGGGACUUGAUCUCCCGGUUCCAUCGUGGGUGGAGCCACCGACUUGAUCUUCAGGAGCCUUCUGUUUGGCUCCCCGAGGUCUCAGUCCCUCAGGACUCAAAUAAAGUUCUUG